RNAcentral lists this ribosomal RNA (514 nucleotides) under Polistes perplexus. RNAcentral's name for it is "partial 16S ribosomal RNA". The record is from RNAcentral. Lineage: Eukaryota; Metazoa; Arthropoda; Insecta; Hymenoptera; Vespidae.
GUCUUAUUGAAUUUAAUAAUAAGUUUAUUCUGCCCAUUGAAUUAAAAUUUAAAAGGCUGCAGUAUAUUGACUGUACAAAGGUAGCAAAAUCAAUAGUUUUUUAAUUGAAAACUUGAAUGAAAGAAUUGAUAAAAUAUAAACUGUCUCAAAUUAAUUAAAUUUGAAUUUAAAUUGAAAGUUAAAAUGCUUUUAUUAAUUUAUUAGACGAUAAGACCCUAAGAAUUUUAAAAUAUAAUUUUAUAUAAUAAAUUUUGUAAUUUAAAAAUAUAUAAAUUUAUGUUUUUUUAUUGGGAGGGUAAUUAAAUUUUUUAACUUUAAUUUUAUAUUAACAUAGAUGAAUGAAUAUUGAUGAUAAUUUUUAUAAUUAUGAGAAUUAAUUACCUUAGGGAUAACAGCGUAAUAAUUUUGGAAAGUUCAUAUUAAUAAAAUUGAUUGCGACCUCGAUGUUGAAUUAAAAUAAAAAUUAGGUGAAGAUGCUUAAAUUUUUAGUCUGUUCGACUAUUAAAAUUUUACA